UACGUAGGAUCCGAGCGUUGUCCGGAAUUACUGGGUGUAAAGGGCGUGUAGGUGGGUCUCUAAGUCGAUGGUGAAAUCCUGCAGCUUAACUGUAGAAUUGCCUUCGAUACUGGAGAUCUUGAGUGCGGCAGAGGGAGAUGGAAGUCAUGGUGUAGCGGUGAAAUGUGUAGAUAUCAUGAAGAACACCGGUAGCGAAGGCGGCCUCCUGGCCCGUAACUGACACUGAGGCGCGAAAGCGUGGGGAGCAAACAGG
This 253-nucleotide ribosomal RNA is filed under the name uncultured bacterium. RNAcentral's name for it is "partial 16S ribosomal RNA". It matches the Rfam family "Bacterial small subunit ribosomal RNA", at positions 524 to 776 of the family's 1533-position model. The record is from RNAcentral.